This 585-nucleotide ribosomal RNA is filed under the name uncultured bacterium. RNAcentral's name for it is "partial 16S ribosomal RNA". It matches the Rfam family "Bacterial small subunit ribosomal RNA", at positions 355 to 937 of the family's 1533-position model. The record is from RNAcentral.
UGGGGAAUAUUGCACAAUGGGCGCAAGCCUGAUGCAGCCAUGCCGCGUGUGUGAAGAAGGCCUUCGGGUUGUAAAGCACUUUUGGCAGGAAAGAAACGUCGCGGGUUAAUACCCCGCGAAACUGACGGUACCUGCAGAAUAAGCACCGGCUAACUACGUGCCAGCAGCCGCGGUAAUACGUAGGGUGCAAGCGUUAAUCGGAAUUACUGGGCGUAAAGCGUGCGCAGGCGGUUCGGAAAGAAAGAUGUGAAAUCCCAGAGCUUAACUUUGGAACUGCAUUUUUAACUACCGGGCUAGAGUGUGUCAGAGGGAGGUGGAAUUCCGCGUGUAGCAGUGAAAUGCGUAGAUAUGCGGAGGAACACCGAUGGCGAAGGCAGCCUCCUGGGAUAACACUGACGCUCAUGCACGAAAGCGUGGGGAGCAAACAGGAUUAGAUACCCUGGUAGUCCACGCCCUAAAACGAUGUCAACUAGCUGUUGGGGCCUUCGGGCCUUGGUAGCGCAGCUAACGCGUGAAGUUGACCGCCUGGGGAGUACGGUCGCAAGAUUAAAACUCAAAUGAAUUGACGGGGUCAUAGCUGUUUCC